This 195-nucleotide small nuclear RNA is filed under the name Salmo trutta (river trout). RNAcentral's name for it is "U2 spliceosomal RNA (ENSSTUG00000003236.1)". It matches the Rfam family "U2 spliceosomal RNA". Rfam says of the family: U2 is a small nuclear RNA (snRNA) component of the spliceosome (involved in pre-mRNA splicing). Complementary binding between U2 snRNA (in an area lying towards the 5' end but 3' to hairpin I) and the branchpoint sequence (BPS) of the intron results the bulging out of an unpaired adenosine, on the BPS, which initiates a nucleophilic attack at the intronic 5' splice site, thus starting the first of two transesterification reactions that mediate splicing. The record is from Rfam by way of RNAcentral. Lineage: Eukaryota; Metazoa; Chordata; Actinopteri; Salmoniformes; Salmonidae.
AUUAUGCUUAUGUUUUUGAACAGUAAUAAAAUCUUUUAAUCAUCUGUUCUUAUCAGUUUAAUAUCUGAUAUGUCCCCCAUCGGGGGACUACAUAUUAAAUGGAUUUUUCGAACAGGGAGUCGGAAAUGGGGCUUGCCCCGUCCGCUCCACGCAUCGACCCGGUAUUGCAGUACCUCCGGGAACGGUGCAACACUU